This 324-nucleotide ribosomal RNA is filed under the name uncultured Sandonidae. Its description in RNAcentral is "SSU rRNA". The stretch from base 63 to 324 matches the Rfam family "Eukaryotic small subunit ribosomal RNA", at positions 693 to 955 of the family's 1831-position model. The record is from RNAcentral. Lineage: Eukaryota; Cercozoa; Glissomonadida; Viridiraptoridae.
GAUUUCUGGCUUGAAACAUUAUGCCGGCCACGGUUUCGUGUGUUAGUGCAUUGGUGUUCUGGCCAUCCUUCCAAUGGCUAUUCAUCCUUCUUCAUUGAAGGUGUGAGUGGUAUUGGAUCUUUUACUUUGAAAAAAUUAGAGUGUUUCAAGCAGGCUUUAUGCUAUGAAUACAUUAGCAUGGAAUAAUAAUUUAGGACUUCGGUUCUAUUUUGUUGGUUUCUAGGACUGAAGUAAUGAUUGAUAGGGAUAGUUGGGGGUGCUAGUAUUCAGCGGCCAGAGGUGAAAUUCUCGGAUUCGCUGAAGACUAACUUAUGCGAAAGCAUU